This 110-nucleotide non-coding RNA is filed under the name Rosa chinensis. The record is from RNAcentral. Lineage: Eukaryota; Viridiplantae; Streptophyta; Magnoliopsida; Rosales; Rosaceae.
GUGAGCCUAGUGAUAGGAGACUAUCUAGCUUGGUUCGGAGAGCACUUGUUGGGUUAAAUAUUUUUUUGUCGCUAAAUGUUACGGCCUAAAUGCUGAACUAUUGACCCUAC